This 73-nucleotide transfer RNA is filed under the name Thermoanaerobaculum aquaticum. It matches the Rfam family "tRNA". Rfam says of the family: Transfer RNA (tRNA) molecules are approximately 80 nucleotides in length. Their secondary structure includes four short double-helical elements and three loops (D, anti-codon, and T loops). The record is from Rfam by way of RNAcentral. Lineage: Bacteria; Pseudomonadati; Acidobacteriota; Thermoanaerobaculia; Thermoanaerobaculales; Thermoanaerobaculaceae.
GGGCCGUUAGCUCAGCAGGCAGAGCAGCGGGCUUUUAACCCGACGGUCGGGGGUUCGAUUCCCUCACGGCCCA